This is a long non-coding RNA of Balaenoptera acutorostrata (minke whale), 2026 nucleotides long. RefSeq lists it as uncharacterized. The transcript is spliced from 3 exons. The record is from RefSeq and is a predicted model, not a curated record. NCBI's taxonomy places the organism in Eukaryota, Metazoa, Chordata, Mammalia, Artiodactyla, Balaenopteridae.
GACACCUGGGGCUCCCCUUCCCCAUCGGGAUAACACACCCAGACAGCACGACAUCCCCCAGAAGACACUUGUGCCGAGUUUGCCCUUGCCUGUGGCCCUCUUUUAAGAUGCAAAUGUCUUGGGACAACAGAGGCACUGCAGAGGUGGUGCUUGCCCUGCAAGGACCUCGGCUGCUUGAGGCCUCCCAGCUGCAGCUGGGAGGUGGAGGGUGGGCUCUUCUCUUGCCCUUCUAGAAGGUGAGCCGGUGUCAGCAACUGGUUCUGAGGGUCCCGGUCCCCAUCCUGAGAAUCCAUUCGCUGAUGUUCUGUCCAGACAGGGCCUGCCUGUCGUCAGAGGACAGUGUCUUUAGCUAAGCCUGCAUGCGCUAAGUGCUCCACAGUGUUAGCUGAUAGCUCUGUAAUGAGCGAUUAGUAAGUUUAGCCGCUCCCACAUACCCUUGGAAACACUUUCAUUUUCUAUACUUUGGAUGAGAUGCUCAUAAUCAUAUUUUGACGUCAUAGACUGAAAAGAACUCUUCACGUUAACAGAGUGACUUUCAAACAUUUUGAGUGUGAUCUGAGCUGCAGUAGGAGAUUUUGCACAGCUGCUCAGUACAGACACACAUGCAAUGAGAUGAGUGUGAUAAAACAGCAGAGACGCUGACAGCGUGGCAUGCACUGGUAUUGUCUGUUCUUUUGAGAAAACAAGGUUGCAACUCACUAAAUUAAUCUCUCCACCUCUCUUAUGCGUUCCACCUGGAAACCUUAAAACUCUGCAUUGGAAUAUUUCUGAACCCAGUUGUCCGAGGGGAACACUGAGGCACCCCUGGAGCAAAUUAGGCACGUCUGCACACUAAGGUGAUGGCCUGGAGAAAAGCACAAGUGGGUCUUCCAGAGAAUUCCAGAGCUCUAACACUUUUAGAGCCACCUGCCACAGCGCGCUCAAUUUGCAGGUGCAGAAACUAAAACCCAGAAUGUGUGACUUGCUCAAGAUCACUCAGUGAGUGAGCGACGGGGCUGGGAUAAAACGUAUCCCCGAUUCUGCCAGAAGAGUCUCACCUUCUCUUAACGUCAGGGGCACUGCUGCCUUGACCCAGGGGAGCUGGGCCCGACACAGAGCUCCCCCGCUCUGCACUGGGGAAUGGCCCACCCUGGAGGAUGUGAACGGAUUUCUCAAGGAAGGUGGAUCUCUGACUGCCUGCGUGCAGUGGGCCCGAGGCACAGUCUCCCUUUCCGUUCCCUGGGAUGUGACGCUGUCCCGUCUGAAGCGGCAGAAGGACCUGUUCAUUCCUCCUCUCUGAAAGGAACUGGAAUCCCCUCUCCCUUCAGGAAAAUUUGCAUUAUUUCACUAGAGAUGCAGCUAUGUCAAGACUAAUGAGGAAGGUUAUAACGAACCCACCGCCAUUCUGGAUCUUCCUUUCAAGGAGCCCUGGAAGAUCCAAUCAACCUGCCACAAAAUCUUUUCUAAUGAACUUCGUCACCCGUGAGGGACCGUCCUCAUUCUCCUUUUGCAGCAGCGUGACCCCCGGCCCUGCCGCUCGCCUUGGAUGCUCCGGCCCCUGCCUCACCUGGACACCGUCUCCGUAGAUGUGGUCACAGGAGCACCUCAGCCCCAGACUUGAGAGAAACACAAGGCGAGCCACAGCUGGGACUCAGGGAGCAAGAAAACACAGCGCAGUCACGGCUCCUGCCAAGGGCAGCGCAGGGCCGCGCGUGGUGAGGAGUUCGCCUCUGCACUAAUCCCAGGAUGCCACGAGGACCUCGUGCUUCUGACUUCGUCCUCCUGAUUCUUCCCGGCCUUCCGGGACCUCAGCUCCAGAACAAUGAGACUCCUCCACGCCCUCCGUGCCGCUUUCUUGAUCAUCUUCCAGGUACUGCCCGGUAAAUACCAAACACGACGAUGCCUCGUCUUAUCAUUAUUUUGUUUUUUCCUUCCCUAAGUCAACCAUCGUCAGAAAGUAAAGCAUUAGGGAGCUACUCAUAGGUCACCUCCACGCCCAAAAUCAGCUAUUGAAAAAUUAGAGAAUAAACUGAUUGUUGUGUCUUCA